CUGUCAUUUUAGCUUUAUAAAUAAUCCGUCUGAGAAAAGGAAUUGUGUUUAAUUUUAUAUUCCCAAUAGCGAGGCUCUUCUUUCUAAGUUGGAUGGCGUUAAAUCUCCGUGUAUCAUCAACGUGAAAACAAUCGCAGUAUUUAAGGUUGGUAUACUACAAUGCAUUACAGUUAUCGUGUUAUUUUAUAGUCAAAUUUCCGCUUUGUUGUUUUUAUUCUUGUACUGUAAUUUUAUAAAUACACUGUACAAAAUUAUGGCGUCAUACUUGUGUUUAUAAUGCCUCUAAUUUGACCCUAUUGUGUGUGUAUAUGUACUGUGUCACUGUGAUACAUAUGUACAUGUUUUGAGUUAAACGAAUUGUUUAAUAAAUUUUUGCUGAAGUAUGAUACCUGUUUGUAUGGAUUUUUACAUAUAUGUGCACUGUGUAUAGUUUAUACAUUGGUUCUCAGAUGAGUCUGAAGGUAUAUUGUUAUUCAGUUAUUUGUAUGUAUUGUUUUAUACAUUUUGCUGAGUAUGAUGCCUGUUUGUAUCUAGUUGUGGAUGGUUGUGAGAAUAUAAUUUUAGAGGUUACAUGUUUGCUAAUUUUAGAGAUGAUAAUGUAUCAAAUAAUAAUUUUCUUGUUAUGACUUUGUAGAAAGAGAUUUACUUGAGUGGUUGGUUGGUCUUGAGCCUGUUCAGGAUGGAUAUGAUAAUGAAAGAGGUGAUCAAGGUGAUAGGGCAGAAAGUGAUGACGUUUAAGUGAGAAGAUGAAAGUGAUGAGGAGGAAAUCGCCCACGCUGUAGCAUUCAAGUGCAUCGGUGAUGCUCGUGAGAAAAACUACCAACAUCAUUUGGAAAAUUAAAUUAAGACAUAAUACCUCACUCUUCAUGAACAAGAUAAAACAGUGAACGUAAGAAUAUGGCCAGCACCAUUGAAUCCAAGGGACCCAAGUGCAAUAGGCAAUUCCGGCUUUUAGUUUAUUUUAUUAAAAUUUUUCAGCAUAAUCAGCAAUAUGAUACCUUACUGCCUGUUGCCCCCUGCACACAUAAAUUAAAAGCUGGAAUUGCCUAUUGACUAGACUAUGGAACUGGAUGACAACAUGUUGGUUAUAUUGCUUUUCAACUAUGCAAGUAUUUGCACCCACUAAUUGCUGCAGAUGUUGUGGAUGUUUAUUGUCUAUGUUCAGUGUAUCAAGUAUAGGGUUGACUUUUUUAAUUAAAAAGGGUGGAU
Non-coding RNA from Paramuricea clavata, 1209 nucleotides. The record is from the annotation of a GenBank genome assembly. Lineage: Eukaryota; Metazoa; Cnidaria; Anthozoa; Malacalcyonacea; Plexauridae.